UGGGGUUGUUUGGCGAAAGUCAAUAUACCAAUUCCCAAGAAGCGCAAGCUUGGACCAAAAACUGUGGAUUGUGUUCUUCUGGGCUAUGCUUUUCAUAGCAUCGGCUAUAGAUUUUUGAUAAUAAAAUCUGAGGUAUCCGACAUGCAUGUUGGUACGAUUAUGGAGUCAAAUGAUGCAACUUUCUUUGAGGACAUAUUUCCUAUGAAGGAUAUGUCGAGUUCAUCAAAUCAGGAGAUACCUACUCCAUCUAGUGAGGAAUUCACUGUAAUUCCUCAACCCACCAUUGCGAUGGAACACGUUGAGAAUCCUGUUGAGGGUAACAAUGGAACUCCUGUGAGGAGUAAGAGACAAAGGACUGCAAAGUCUUUUGGUGAUGAUUUCAUUGUGUACCUCGUGGAUGACACACCCAGGACUAUUUCAGAAGCCUAUGCAUCUCCUGAUGCUGACUACUGGAAGGAAGCUGUACGUAGCGAGAUGGAUUCCAUCUUAGCUAACGGUACCUGGAAGAUCACUGACCAUCCAUAUGGGUGCAAACCUGUAGGAUGUAAGUGGGUGUUCAAGAAGAAGCUUAGACCUGAUGGUACGAUUGAAAAGUACAAGGCACGGCUUGUGGCCAAGGGUUAUACCCAGAAAGAAGGUGAAGACUUCUUUGAUACUUACUCACCCGUGGCUAGACUGACCACAAUUCGGGUGCUACUAUCACCGGUCGCCUCACAUGGUCUUCUCGUUCAUCAAAUGGACGUUAAGACGGCUUUCCUUAAUGGAGAGUUGAAGGAGGAAAUUUACAUGGAUCAGCCAGAUGGUUUUGUAGUACCUGGUCAGGAAGGAAAGGUGUGCAAGUUAUUAAAGUCUUUAUAUGGCCUUAAACAAGCUCCUAAGGAGUGGCAUGAGAAGUUCGAAAGAACAUUAACUGCUGCCGGCUUUGUAGUAAACGAUGGUGACAAGUGCGUGUACUAUCGCUAUGGUGGGGGCGAAGGAGUUAUUCUUUGUCUGUAUGUCGAUGACAUAUUGAUCUUUGGAACCAAACUUGAUUUAAUCAAGGAGGUUAAGGAUUUCUUAUCUCGCUGUUUUGAGAUGAAGGAUCUAGGAGUACCUGAUGUUAUCUUAAACAUCAAGCUGUUGAGAGAUGAGAAUGGUGGGAUCACACUGCUUCAGUCUCAUUAUGUGGAAAAGGUCUUGAGUCGUUUUGGGUAUAGCGACUGCACGCCCUCUCCAACUCCAUAUGAUGCUAGUGUGUUGCUUCGAAAGAAUCGACGGAUUGCUAGAGAUCAACUGAGGUAUUCUCAGAUUAUUGGCUCGCUUAUGUAUUUGGCGAGUGCCACGAGGCCUGACAUCUCUUUUGCUGUGAGCAAGCUGAGUCGGUUUGUGUCAAAACCGGGAGAUGAUCAUUGGAAUGCGCUUGAGAGAGUUAUGCGCUAUUUGAAAGGCACCGCGAGCUAUGGGAUUCACUACACUGGGUAUCCAAGGGUACUGGAGGGUUAUAGUGACUCAAACUGGAUAUCUGAUGCUGAUGAGUUUAAGGCCACAAGUGGUUAUGUUUUUACACUUGGUGGUGGCGCUGUU
Molecule: ribosomal RNA, 1563 nt
Filed under: Triticum aestivum (bread wheat)
Lineage: Eukaryota; Viridiplantae; Streptophyta; Magnoliopsida; Poales; Poaceae
Description: partial small subunit ribosomal RNA
Source: RNAcentral